This 503-nucleotide ribosomal RNA is filed under the name uncultured bacterium. Its description in RNAcentral is "bacterial SSU rRNA". It matches the Rfam family "Bacterial small subunit ribosomal RNA", at positions 8 to 507 of the family's 1533-position model. The record is from RNAcentral.
AGAGUUUGAUCCUGGCUCAGGAUGAACGCUAGCGGGAGGCCUAACACUAUGCAAGCCGAGUCGGUAUUGUUUACUUCGGAAAUGAGAGAGCGGCGUACGGGUGCGGAACACGUGUCGCAACCUGCCUUUAUCUGGGGGAUAGCCUUUCGAAAGGAAGAUUAAUACUCCAUAAUAUAUUGAACGGCAUCGUUUAAUAUUGAAAGCUCCGGCGGAUAGAGAUGGGCACGCGCAAGAUUAGCUAGUUGGUGAGGUAACGGCUCACCAAGGCAAUGAUCUUUAGGGGGCCUGAGAGGGUGACCCCCCACACUGGUACUGAGACACGGACCAGACUCCUACGGGAGGCAGCAGUGAGGAAUAUUGGUCAAUGGGUGCAAGCCUGAACCAGCCAUCCCGCGUGAAGGACGACUGCCCUAUGGGUUGUAAACUUCUUUUGUAUAGGGAUAAACCUUUCCACGUGUGGAAAGCUGAAGGUACUAUACGAAUAAGCACCGGCUAACUCCGUG